AACGUAGGGGACAAGCGUUAUCCGGAUUUACUGGGCGUAAAGCGCCCGUAGGCGGCCUGACAAGUUGGACGUGAAAGCUCCUGGCUUAACUGGGAGAGGCCGUUCAAAACUGUCAAGCUAGAGUCUGGAAGAGGAGAGCGGAAUUCCCGGUGUAGUGGUGGAAUGCGUGGAGAUCGGGAGGAACACCAGUGGCGAAAGCGGCUCUCUGGUCCAAAACUGACGCUGAGGGGCGAAAGCGUGGGGAGCGAACGGG
This 253-nucleotide ribosomal RNA is filed under the name uncultured bacterium. RNAcentral describes it as "partial 16S ribosomal RNA". It matches the Rfam family "Bacterial small subunit ribosomal RNA", at positions 524 to 776 of the family's 1533-position model. The record is from RNAcentral.